RNAcentral lists this ribosomal RNA (75 nucleotides) under Pelobates cultripes (western spadefoot toad). Its description in RNAcentral is "SSU_rRNA_eukarya". It matches the Rfam family "Eukaryotic small subunit ribosomal RNA", at positions 311 to 385 of the family's 1831-position model. The record is from RNAcentral. Lineage: Eukaryota; Metazoa; Chordata; Amphibia; Anura; Pelobatidae.
CCUAUCAACUUUCGAUGUUACUUUCUGCGCCUACCAUGGUGACCACGGGUAACGGGAAAUCAGUGUUUGAUUCCG